GUGGGGAAUCUUCCGCAAUGGACGAAAGUCUGACGGAGCAACGCCGCGUGAGUGAUGAAGGUCUUCGGAUUGUAAAGCUCUGUUAAUCGGGACGAAAGAGCCUAGUGUGAAUAAUGCUAGGAAGUGACGGUACCGGAAUAGAAAGCCACGGCUAACUACGUGCCAGCAGCCGCGGUAAUACGUAGGUGGCAAGCGUUGUCCGGAAUUAUUGGGCGUAAAGCGCGCGCAGGCGGAUCUGCCAGUCUGUCUUAAAAGUUCGGGGCUUAACCCCGUGAUGGGAUGGAAACUACAGAUCUAGAGUAUCGGAGAGGAAAGUGGAAUUCCUAGUGUAGCGGUGAAAUGCGUAGAUAUUAGGAAGAACACCAGUGGCGAAGGCGACUUUCUGGACGAUGUCUGACGCUGAGGCGCGAAAGCUAGGGGAGCGAACGGGAUUAGAAACCCGUGUAGUCC
RNAcentral lists this ribosomal RNA (450 nucleotides) under uncultured bacterium. RNAcentral describes it as "partial 16S ribosomal RNA". It matches the Rfam family "Bacterial small subunit ribosomal RNA", at positions 354 to 796 of the family's 1533-position model. The record is from RNAcentral.